This 253-nucleotide ribosomal RNA is filed under the name uncultured bacterium. Its description in RNAcentral is "partial 16S ribosomal RNA". It matches the Rfam family "Bacterial small subunit ribosomal RNA", at positions 524 to 776 of the family's 1533-position model. The record is from RNAcentral.
UACGGAGGAUGCAAGCGUUAUCCGGAAUGAUUGGGCGUAAAGCGUCCGCAGGUGGCUAUGUAAGUCUGCUGUUAAAGAGUGAGGCUCAACCUCAUAAAGGCAGUGGAAACUACAUGGCUAGAGUGCGUUCGGGGCAGAGGGAAUUCCUGGUGUAGCGGUGAAAUGCGUAGAGAUUGGGAAGAACAUCGGUGGCGAAAGCGCUCUACUGGACCUCAUCUGACACUCAGGGACGAAAGCUAGGGGAGCGAAUGGG